Molecule: long non-coding RNA, 885 nt
Filed under: Olea europaea subsp. europaea
Lineage: Eukaryota; Viridiplantae; Streptophyta; Magnoliopsida; Lamiales; Oleaceae
Source: RNAcentral
CUUGCUCAGGGUCUUCCAGCUCUGGCUUGAUCUCCUCCUCUGGGUCUUCUUUUGGCUCCUCCUGUGGCUCUAGCUUUGGUUCUGGUUCAGGUUCGGGCUCGGGCCCAAUGCUUGUUGUCUCUUAUUCUAUAAAAUUAUGAUAUCCUCACAGUACCUUUUAAAAUCAAUCUUAUCACAAUCUUUUUCCAAAUAUAACCCGUAAUCCAUAUCCCUAACGAAGUAAGCCCGUCGCUCCAUUGAGGUCGCAUAGUGCUUAUAAGGUGGUAUAUCGAGAGGACUGUCCCCUCAUUAUAUCCGAACGAUCUUGCUCGCUCCCAUUUAGAAAGGAAAUUUUCAACAUGUUCAACAAAAGUUUGCUCCCAUCUUACUUCAUAAUUCAUGUAGUUCUCAAGGGCUAUUUCAGCACGCUAGAAGUAUGUUGGGUUAUUCCUAGUCAUCCUAAUCACGUGACAAGUAUAAUUUCAAUUACGUCUAAUAUUGCUUUAUCAAUAUUAUUUUAUUCUCAGUGCAUAAAUAAUAUUCUAGUAAAAUGAAAAAAAAAUGACAAAUAAAUUAUGCGAGGUGAACGUGCUUAUACAUUUCAUAACUUGUAGAAAUAUGAUUCAUAACCAUGCUAGAAAUUAAGAAUGAAAAUAAUUCAUUUCAUACCCGAGAUCAACUGCAAAGUAGUCGAAUGGUGAGCGCCACGUGCUAAGUGUUCUUAUAACAUUAUUUGUUUAAAAAAAUUACAUUAUCCUUUAAACUCCCUAUUUUCUUUUUCUUUUUUUUUUUUUAUAAAUGAUUUGACUAUAAUUAUUUAUGAAUUUCUUAGAAUAGAAAAAAUAAACAAAUAAAAGUUCCUAACAACAGUAGCAUCAUUUAAAAUCAUGUUAUAAACGGUUAUUU